Oryzias melastigma (Indian medaka) is the source of this 1292-nucleotide long non-coding RNA. RefSeq lists it as uncharacterized. NCBI's taxonomy places the organism in Eukaryota, Metazoa, Chordata, Actinopteri, Beloniformes, Adrianichthyidae. The transcript is spliced from 2 exons. The record is from RefSeq and is a predicted model, not a curated record.
AGAGCGCUCCACCAGCUCCACCGUCUGGCCGCAGCGGACGCUCAGCUCUCCCGGCCCCCCAGAGGUGAAGUCCAGCAGUACCACCACUAACUCGCAGCCGCCGGAGAGCUGCAAACACACAGACGCGCCGCGCUAAAUGAUAAAUGGCGUUGAACCUGAGCGUCUUUGUUGCCACAACAUGACAGAUGACCCUCAUUCAUCAUCCCGCUCAGCGCCGCCCAGCAUCACAUGAAACCAGGUCGCCGUGGUUACCGCCGACUCUCCAGCCAGACUGAUAGCUCACAUAAGCACAUGUGCUCUGGCUCCGGUGGGGGGGAACACCCAGCGCCCUCUGGGAAAGAGUGGGGGGAGUUCCCGACUAAAUGAAAGCAGCUGUGAUUUACGGAGGGAGCAGCAGAGGAGCUGAAUGGAGGCGGUGGCUUCCAAAUGGGUCGGCUCAUCCGAGCAAAACCAGAGAAGGGGGGAAAACGGAAUGGUUUGUCCCGAAAGAGGAGGAGGAAUCCGGGCUGAACCGAGCUGACAGGCAGCUGGAAAAACACUUUCCCUGAAAACUGUUUUAAAAUCUUUACUUAUUUUUCCUUUUUAAUUUAUUUUUAAAUUAUUAGGAAUUUUUUACAAAUUUUUUUGUUUUUUUCCCUUUUUUCCCCUAAAAAUUUCAUGACCUACAAGGAAUAAAAAUUACAUUUAUCAUAAUUUUUUGUAAAACUCGUUCAUGUAUAUUUUUAUAUUUUUAAAUACUAAAAAAAUUCCAUACGAGACGAAAAUUCAUUGUUUUACCUCGAAUUUGUAUCAUUGUUCAGCUCAGUUCAACAUGUCAGAGGUCAGAGGUCACAGGAGCACCUCCUAACUAACCUGAAGGUAAAAGCAAAAGUCGAACGUACCUCGUCGACGGCGUGGAGUUUCUAGAAGAGUGUGGACAAACAUGCUCACACCCAGCCAGCUGCAGCAGAGCUGAGGUCAUGAGGCGCUCGACACACCCCUCUGAACACACUCCGUGUGUGUGUGUGUGUGUGUGUGUGUGUGUGUGCGGUUACCUUGUCGCUGUCGGCGGUGUUCUGCGACGUUCGUGAGGCGAUGGAAACCGUGUCAGGCUGACUGCUGGCAUCACCCAGGCUGUCUGCGUCCUCGCUCGUCUCCCUGAAAGUCACCACCGCACGGAAAUAUUUACACUUUUUUUCCAUAUUUUUCACAUUUUUUUCAAAUCUGUUGGAGCUGGAGUUCCUCAACUGCCUCCUUUACUCUCAAAUUUCUUUUGAGAACUUUGUUUGAAACUUUUUAUAAAAAAAAAAAAA